UUGUAAUUUCAAAGAAGAUUCAUUUGGCUGCGAAACUAAGGGCUCUUAACUCUGUGACCAAAGAUUUCAAUUCUCCAAAGGAUGCUAUAGUCACUCAGUAUGUUAUCAAACUUGGAGUAUAAUUCUGUGCCUCAAGC
This 137-nucleotide small nucleolar RNA is filed under the name Mus pahari (shrew mouse). Its description in RNAcentral is "snoRNA (MGP_PahariEiJ_G0034924.1)". Lineage: Eukaryota; Metazoa; Chordata; Mammalia; Rodentia; Muridae. The record is from RNAcentral.